GAUGAACGCUGACAGAAUGCUUAACACAUGCAAGUCUUUGGCGAAGCUGUGCUCGCACAGCCUAGCCAAGGCGGACGGGUGAGUAACGCGUAAGGAACUUGCCCUGCAGUCAGGGAUAACAGACGGAAACGACUGAUAAGACCUGGUAAAGUCAGGCGGACUCAUGUCCAGCCUGAUGAAAAGAGAUGCUGCAGGAGAGCCUUGCGUCCUAUUAGCUUGUUGGUGGGGUAACGGCCCACCAAGGCGAUGAUAGGUAGCCGGCCUGAGAGGGUGGACGGCCAAAAGGGGACUGAGAGACGGCACUUACUCCUACGGGAGGCAGCAGUGGGGAAUAUUGGACAAUGGGGGCAACCCUGAUCCAGCAAUUCUGUGUGCACGAUGAAGGUUUUCGGAUUGUAAAGUGCUUUCAGCAGGGAAGAAAAAAAUGACGGUACCUGCAGAAGAAGCGACGGCUAAAUACGUG
Molecule: ribosomal RNA, 463 nt
Filed under: uncultured bacterium
Lineage: Bacteria
Description: partial 16S ribosomal RNA
Rfam family: Bacterial small subunit ribosomal RNA
Source: RNAcentral